RNAcentral lists this ribosomal RNA (2923 nucleotides) under Klebsiella quasipneumoniae subsp. similipneumoniae. RNAcentral's name for it is "bacterial LSU rRNA". It matches the Rfam family "Bacterial large subunit ribosomal RNA". The record is from RNAcentral. RNAcentral also lists the same sequence under 1 other name. Lineage: Bacteria; Pseudomonadati; Pseudomonadota; Gammaproteobacteria; Enterobacterales; Enterobacteriaceae.
GGGUUGUGAGGUUAAGCGACUAAGCGUACACGGUGGAUGCCCUGGCAGUCAGAGGCGAUGAAGGACGUGCUAAUCUGCGAAAAGCGUCGGUAAGGUGAUAUGAACCGUUACAGCCGGCGAUGUCCGAAUGGGGAAACCCAGUGCAAUUCGUUGCACUAUCGUUAACUGAAUACAUAGGUUAACGAGGCGAACCGGGGGAACUGAAACAUCUAAGUACCCCGAGGAAAAGAAAUCAACCGAGAUUCCCCCAGUAGCGGCGAGCGAACGGGGAGCAGCCCAGAGUCUGAAUCAGCUUGUGUGUUAGUGGAACGGUCUGGAAAGUCCGACGGUACAGGGUGAUAGUCCCGUACACCAAAAUGCACAGGUUGUGAACUCGAAGAGUAGGGCGGGACACGUGGUAUCCUGUCUGAAUAUGGGGGGACCAUCCUCCAAGGCUAAAUACUCCUGACUGACCGAUAGUGAACCAGUACCGUGAGGGAAAGGCGAAAAGAACCCCGGCGAGGGGAGUGAAAAAGAACCUGAAACCGUGUACGUACAAGCAGUGGGAGCACCUUCGGGUGUGACUGCGUACCUUUUGUAUAAUGGGUCAGCGACUUAUAUUCUGUAGCAAGGUUAACCGUAUAGGGGAGCCGCAGGGAAACCGAGUCUUAACUGGGCGUUAAGUUGCAGGGUAUAGACCCGAAACCCGGUGAUCUAGCCAUGGGCAGGUUGAAGGUUGGGUAACACUAACUGGAGGACCGAACCGACUAAUGUUGAAAAAUUAGCGGAUGACUUGUGGCUGGGGGUGAAAGGCCAAUCAAACCGGGAGAUAGCUGGUUCUCCCCGAAAGCUAUUUAGGUAGCGCCUCGUGAACUCAUCUUCGGGGGUAGAGCACUGUUUCGGCUAGGGGGUCAUCCCGACUUACCAACCCGAUGCAAACUACGAAUACCGAAGAAUGUUAUCACGGGAGACACACGGCGGGUGCUAACGUCCGUCGUGAAGAGGGAAACAACCCAGACCGCCAGCUAAGGUCCCAAAGUCAUGGUUAAGUGGGAAACGAUGUGGGAAGGCACAGACAGCCAGGAUGUUGGCUUAGAAGCAGCCAUCAUUUAAAGAAAGCGUAAUAGCUCACUGGUCGAGUCGGCCUGCGCGGAAGAUGUAACGGGGCUAAACCAUGCACCGAAGCUGCGGCAGCGACACUAUGUGUUGUUGGGUAGGGGAGCGUUCUGUAAGCCUGCGAAGGUGACCUGUGAGGGUUGCUGGAGGUAUCAGAAGUGCGAAUGCUGACAUAAGUAACGAUAAAGCGGGUGAAAAGCCCGCUCGCCGGAAGACCAAGGGUUCCUGUCCAACGUUAAUCGGGGCAGGGUGAGUCGACCCCUAAGGCGAGGCCGAAAGGCGUAGUCGAUGGGAAACAGGUUAAUAUUCCUGUACUUGGUGUUACUGCGAAGGGGGGACGGAGAAGGCUAUGUUAGCCGGGCGACGGUUGUCCCGGUUUAAGCAUGUAGGCUGGUUGUCCAGGCAAAUCCGGAUAAUCAAGGCUGAGGUGUGAUGACGAGGCACUACGGUGCUGAAGUAACAAAUGCCCUGCUUCCAGGAAAAGCCUCUAAGCAUCAGGUAACACGAAAUCGUACCCCAAACCGACACAGGUGGUCAGGUAGAGAAUACCAAGGCGCUUGAGAGAACUCGGGUGAAGGAACUAGGCAAAAUGGUGCCGUAACUUCGGGAGAAGGCACGCUGGUGUGUAGGUGAAGUCCCUGCGGAUGGAGCUGAGACCAGUCGAAGAUACCAGCUGGCUGCAACUGUUUAUUAAAAACACAGCACUGUGCAAACACGAAAGUGGACGUAUACGGUGUGACGCCUGCCCGGUGCCGGAAGGUUAAUUGAUGGGGUUAUCCGUAAGGAGAAGCUCUUGAUCGAAGCCCCGGUAAACGGCGGCCGUAACUAUAACGGUCCUAAGGUAGCGAAAUUCCUUGUCGGGUAAGUUCCGACCUGCACGAAUGGCGUAAUGAUGGCCAGGCUGUCUCCACCCGAGACUCAGUGAAAUUGAACUCGCUGUGAAGAUGCAGUGUACCCGCGGCAAGACGGAAAGACCCCGUGAACCUUUACUAUAGCUUGACACUGAACAUUGAGCCUUGAUGUGUAGGAUAGGUGGGAGGCUUUGAAGCGUGGACGCCAGUCUGCGUGGAGCCAACCUUGAAAUACCACCCUUUAAUGUUUGAUGUUCUAACGUUGGCCCCUUAUCGGGGUUGCGGACAGUGUCUGGUGGGUAGUUUGACUGGGGCGGUCUCCUCCCAAAGCGUAACGGAGGAGCACGAAGGUUAGCUAAUCCUGGUCGGACAUCAGGAGGUUAGUGCAAUGGCAUAAGCUAGCUUGACUGCGAGCGUGACGGCGCGAGCAGGUGCGAAAGCAGGUCAUAGUGAUCCGGUGGUUCUGAAUGGAAGGGCCAUCGCUCAACGGAUAAAAGGUACUCCGGGGAUAACAGGCUGAUACCGCCCAAGAGUUCAUAUCGACGGCGGUGUUUGGCACCUCGAUGUCGGCUCAUCACAUCCUGGGGCUGAAGUAGGUCCCAAGGGUAUGGCUGUUCGCCAUUUAAAGUGGUACGCGAGCUGGGUUUAGAACGUCGUGAGACAGUUCGGUCCCUAUCUGCCGUGGGCGCUGGAGAAUUGAGGGGGGCUGCUCCUAGUACGAGAGGACCGGAGUGGACGCAUCACUGGUGUUCGGGUUGUCAUGCCAAUGGCACUGCCCGGUAGCUAAAUGCGGAAGAGAUAAGUGCUGAAAGCAUCUAAGCACGAAACUUGCCCCGAGAUGAGUUCUCCCUGAGACUUUAAGUCUCCUGAAGGAACGUUGAAGACGACGACGUUGAUAGGCCGGGUGUGUAAGCGCAGCGAUGCGUUGAGCUAACCGGUACUAAUGAACCGUGAGGCUUAACCUUACAACGCCGAAG